Molecule: ribosomal RNA, 264 nt
Filed under: Acontias orientalis
Lineage: Eukaryota; Metazoa; Chordata; Lepidosauria; Squamata; Scincidae
Description: partial 12S ribosomal RNA
Source: RNAcentral
CCUAAACUUGCCGUUGUUUUUUACCAGAAUUAUACAUGCAAGGUCUCCGCAUUCCAGUGCAAACGCCCACUAAUCCCCUAAACAGACAACCGGAGCAGGUAUCAGGCACACCAAAAGUCAAGCCAACAACACCAAGCUUCGCCACACCCACACGGGUAAUCAGCAGUAAUUGAUAUUAAGCAAUAGGCGAUCUCAAGCCUGACUUAGUCACGGUACAUUAGGGUUGGUUAAUUUCGUGCCAGCCACCGCGGUUAUACNAAAAAC